UUCGAUAAUACACGAAAAACCUUACCAAGGUUUGACAUCCCUCGCAAAGCCAUAGAAAUAUAGUAGAGGUUAUCGAGGUGACAGGUGGUGCAUGGCUGUCGUCAGCUCGUGUCUUGAGAUGUUAGGUUAAGUCCCGCAACGAGCGCAACCCCACUCUUUAGUUACUUGUCUAAAGAGACUGCACAGUAAUGUAGAGGAAGGAUGGGAUCACGUCAAGUCAUCAUGCCCCUUAUGCCUUGGGCUGCAAACGUGCUACAAUGGCGAACACAAUGUGUUGCAAACCAGCGAUGGUAAGCUAAUCACCUAAUUUCGUCUCAGUUCGGAUAGGAGGCUGCAAUUCGCCUCCUUGAAGUUGGAAUCACU
This 363-nucleotide ribosomal RNA is filed under the name uncultured Mycoplasma sp. Its description in RNAcentral is "bacterial SSU rRNA". It matches the Rfam family "Bacterial small subunit ribosomal RNA", at positions 950 to 1336 of the family's 1533-position model. Lineage: Bacteria; Bacillati; Mycoplasmatota; Mollicutes; Mycoplasmatales; Mycoplasmataceae. The record is from RNAcentral.